GGGGAGACCAAGGGUGCCCUGCUCAAUGUCAGCCCUGACUCUGUGCCACGUGCACUCAGCUCUGCCACGGAGGUGCAUGGCUCUGUAGACGUGGACGCCUCAGGGGUGACACCUCAGAGCUCCUGUUUACCUCUUUAGCCACCAGGAAGACAUUAGGACUCCCAGAGGGUGACUCCAGGGGCAGGUGGCUUGGAGGACUGGCCGUGCAAGGAGGCAGCAAAGGGGCGGCCAUCUGCAAGCUGAGGGCAGAGGCCUUGGAGGAAGCAGCCCUGCCAGUGCUGCCUGCAGGUCGGAAGUCCAAACCAAGGUGCUGGAAGGGCUGGUUCCUUCCGGACCCUUCAGGGGAGAAUCUUUCUGCCUCUUUGGCUUCUUGAGGCCCCUUCCUGGCAUUGCUUCUUUCUCCACUGACUCCUACCAUCAGCGCUGAGUCCUGCCUGCCUCUUAUAAGAUCUUCAGAGGCCACCUGGGAUGUCAGAAGCUUCCAGGAACCAGGAGGUAGCUGCAUCUCCUGUCCCUUCCCUGAGUCACCUUGCUGGACUCCACAGUGUGGUGCAGACAAGAAGCUGCAGGGGACAACAUGGAAGGAAGCGGGGAUGGAGGAGAUGGAAUGGGAUGGGCUCUGGGCCCGGCCAAGCAGAGCAGGAUAGGGCUGAGAGUCAUCUGAGCACAGGUGGUUCAAAUGGCAGAGAAGCUCCACGCUGGAGCGGGGAAGAGCUUGGGCUUUCCGGCCAGAAAGCGCAGGUUUUGGCCACGGCUCUUCUGCCACUCACUAGAUGUGGGAGUUUGGAGGCGUUACCCGAGCUCUGAGCCUUACUUUCCUCAUCUGAAAAAUGGGAAUAAUGGUAGGGUUAAAUUAAACCAAAUUUGGUCUGAGGAUGCCUCUGCACUUUGAGUCCAACUGCGACCUUAGCAGCAAAUGAACUGCAGGCCUAGCUUAGGAGUGUACUUUUGUAAGAAAUAGCCGAGUCUUAGCCAAUCACAGCAGCUGAGCUUCUAUAAAUCGCAGGUGGCUGCUGAGUAGUCCAUGUUCAAACACGGCAAACCAAGCUGUGACCAAUGAGCUGUCUCUGCAGCUCACUUCCAUUUUCUGUCUAUAAACACUCCCUGCCCACACUGUGGAGUGGAGCUCAGCCCUUGGAACCUCUUCUGGUCUGAGGGCUGCCCACUUCAUGAAUCCUUUGCUUAAUUAAACUCA
RNAcentral lists this long non-coding RNA (1195 nucleotides) under Homo sapiens (human). RNAcentral's name for it is "HSALNT0356036". The record is from RNAcentral. Lineage: Eukaryota; Metazoa; Chordata; Mammalia; Primates; Hominidae.